UACAAGUCCCAUAAUGCAGUGCGGCAGGCCGCGCGCGCUGCUCCCUGGGAAUGUGUAGUGGCGGGUCUCCGAGGAGGGUCCCGCGGGCUAAUCAGCCUGCCUGUCUCCGCAAAUUGUCAGCUUUUAUACAAGUGGAAGUGAGAGAGGACUGGGAAGCCAGGAGCUGCCCUGGGGGGCAGUCAGAAGCCUCCUGACCUGUGGUUCCUCGGACUUCCUCCUAGAGCAAAACCGAUAAUCAGUCUUAACGGUUCCACAUUAUUUCAAGAGAGAAGAACCAUAAGGAAGGAGAAGAAAGAAUGAAAAGCCACCUUGGGGAGACUGCUCGGUGGUGCUGUCACACAGGUGCCAACAAGGUCCUGGGCUCACCCGACACAGAAAUGGCCACCACACUAAACAGAACCAUCUGCGUGAGGUUUCCAGCCUCCCCAAUUCCGUCACUGAGUGAGACACCCGCCUCAACUAGGUGUAAACUGAGAGGAUUCGGUUCUGGAACCAACACACUUAACUACAUCAGUUACGUCUUCCCGAGCACGGUAGAAUUCAGUAGCAUGAGAAAAGCAACAAAGGUGGGGAAACUGAACUACAGUCCCAGUCUCAGGUCUGACUACCACAUUUGGUGCGUGUUAGUUCCAGAUGCUAACAUGAUGCCAACUGGACUUCCAUGGACAGAUGACCCUACCAAGAUGUCCUGGAGAGUCCGCUUCCCCAGAACUCUGUCCCACUAGGGAAAGAGAGAGAGAGGCUGGGAGUAUGGCUCAACCUGUCAACACCCAUGAUCAGCAGGGAAGCAAUUACACAAGCCUUACCUCCCACCUUCUGCAUCCCACAAUGACCCUGGGUCCAUACUCCCAGAGGGAUAAAGAAUAGGAAAGAUAUCAGGGGAUGGGAUGGGAUACAGAGUUCUGGUGGUGGGAGUUGUGUGGAUUUGUACUCCUCUUAUCCUAUGUGUGCUUAACCCGCUGUGCUACCACCCGACCCCCAAAAUAAUUUUCUAUCUCUUCUUCUUUUUCUCCUCUUCCUCUUCUUCCUCCUUCCACUCUCUCUCCCACUUCUCUCAUCAGUGGGGUUUUACUGCUCUUGGCUGGCUUUUUCAGAUGGGGAGAGGGAGAGAGAGGAGACCACAUCGCACAGUGCAGUGGGACCUGGCUCGAGCCUGGGUGAGGCACCUAGCAAAGGUGAACUGUCUGACUGGGUUGAGAUUACUUUUAUGCAGCAUAAACUAUCCAUCUUUGAAUUUCCUCCUCAACUGCUCAAAUGGAACAACCUUUCUGAGCAAGCUGAGUACAGAACGUGUAUGCAUGCGACCCCAGAGUUUCUCUCAUCCUCAUCAUCCAUGCCAGAGCUGAAUGCUGGUUGUACCUCUCUCUAAUAAAAAUAAAUGGACAGAUGACAACAAUGACUUAGAAAGGGGGUCAGAGAGACAGAUCAUUCAAGGACUUGUAAGCAUGAGCCUGAGCUUGGUCCCCCGCUGGUGCUCUGGUACCAGUGUGAUGCUCUGGCUGCUCCCUCCCCCAUGUUAAUAUAUAUUCUUUUAACUUUAGAGUUUCAUUGAGUAAAGUGUCACCAAAGGUCUGUGUUCCCGCCCCCACCCUCAUAGAUAACCACUACACCUCUCCCACAGUCUUGGAAAUAGGUUGACACUUUGUUUACUUCACAUUCAUAUGUUCAGUUCUCUGUGUUCCACAUAUGAGUGAAGCCAUUCUGUCGUCCUUCCCUCCUGACUUGCUUCAUCAUCUUCUCCAAUUCCAGCCACAUUAUCCCAAAGGACACAAUAUCAUCUUUUUUAUAGCUGAAUAAUACUCCACUGAGUUUAUAUCCCAUAACUGUUUUAUCCAAUCAUCUGUCAAAUGGCAUUUUGGUUGUUUCCAGGGUUUUGCUUCUGUGAAUAAAGCUGUUGUGAACACAGGGGCUGCGCGUGCCCCUUCGAAUCAGUUACAUCAUCUGGGGAAAUGCCUAGGAGUGGGCCUGCUGGGUCACAGGGCCUUCCCAUCUGUAUUUGCUUAUGGACUCUCCCUCCUGUUCUCCACGGUGGCUGCACUCAUCUGCCCUCCCACCAGCAGUGCAGCGGAGUUGCUGUCUCUCCACGUCCUCCCCAGCACUGAGCUGCUCUUGUUUUACUCAUGGAGCCCAUGCUCACAGGUGUGAGGUGGGAUAUCGGCAUGGUUGUAAUUUGCGUUUCUCUGGUGAUGAGUGGUUUCCACAUAUGUCUAUGGUCCAUGUGUAUCUGUUCUUUAGAAAACCAUCUAUUCAUAUUUUCUGCCCACUUUUUUUUUUGUUGUUGCUUCUGGGGUUAUCACUAGGGCUUGGUGCUCACACUAUGAAUCCAUUGCUCCUGGUGGCCAUUUUUCCCCAUAUUAUUGGAUAGGACAGAGAGAAAUUGAGAAAGAUGGGGGGGGGGAGAGGGAGAGAGAGAGA
Erinaceus europaeus (western European hedgehog) is the source of this 2415-nucleotide long non-coding RNA. RefSeq lists it as uncharacterized. NCBI's taxonomy places the organism in Eukaryota, Metazoa, Chordata, Mammalia, Eulipotyphla, Erinaceidae. The transcript is spliced from 5 exons. The record is from RefSeq and is a predicted model, not a curated record.